This 73-nucleotide transfer RNA is filed under the name Actinomycetes bacterium. RNAcentral's name for it is "Actinobacteria bacterium tRNA-Arg". It matches the Rfam family "tRNA". Rfam says of the family: Transfer RNA (tRNA) molecules are approximately 80 nucleotides in length. Their secondary structure includes four short double-helical elements and three loops (D, anti-codon, and T loops). Further hydrogen bonds mediate the characteristic L-shaped molecular structure. tRNAs have two regions of fundamental functional importance: the anti-codon, which is responsible for specific mRNA codon recognition, and the 3' end, to which the tRNAs corresponding amino acid is attached (by aminoacyl-tRNA synthetases). tRNAs cope with the degeneracy of the genetic code in two manners: having more than one tRNA (with a specific anti-codon) for a particular amino acid; and 'wobble' base-pairing, i.e. permitting non-standard base-pairing at the 3rd anti-codon position. Lineage: Bacteria; Bacillati; Actinomycetota; Actinomycetes. The record is from RNAcentral. RNAcentral also lists the same sequence under 1 other name.
GCCCCGGUAGCUCAGUGGAUAGAGCAGCGCUCUCCUAAGGCGCGUGCCGCAGGUUCGAUUCCUGCCCGGGGCA